Molecule: long non-coding RNA, 700 nt
Organism: Sipha flava (yellow sugarcane aphid)
Lineage: Eukaryota; Metazoa; Arthropoda; Insecta; Hemiptera; Aphididae
Exons: 3
Source: RefSeq, a predicted model, not a curated record
CACUGUUGAAACCGAUAAUGAUUAAUUUGACUUGGCUUAUUAUUUGUUGACAAAUCGUUCAUUUCGUGUUCUACUGGUGAACUGUUCUCAGCGACGCUGUUAACACGAGCGUUUUAAUCUACGUUGUUGUAAUCCAUCUGAGAAGGUCACACCAUAUGUACAACGUUUUUGCGUGAACACGCUUGCCGCCCUCCUACCUCCCAAAAAUAGUUCAAUGCCCAAGUGAUACUUCACCGCCCACUGAGGUGCGAUAUCGCCCCCGUUGAGAACCACUGCUUUAGAUCCAGCUGUUUGGUCUGAGCGUUAAUGAGUGAAUUGGGGCGUUCUCCUCUAUAUACAUUUUAAGAUAUUGCGCAGCGCUUGUUGUUUGUGAAUUGACGUUACACCACAUAGAAGCAUACAUAAAUGCAUUGGAUAAUAAACACAAGUUGGUACAGUGUAUUUUUUUUUUCAUAUGUGAGCAAGAAGGGUGUGAGGUCGCGGCCAUCAAGACCAUACAAUGGUGGCUAAGUCACUCCAAUACUCAGUGCAAAAUAAGAUUUUUCGUUAUAGUAUUAUUUUGAUUAUCAAGAAGAUAUCUUAUUUAUAUCCUAAGCUUCAAUUGGUUUGUAUUAGAUAACAAAUUGUAUUAGAUGCAUUGGAUAACAAAUUACUGAACUAUGUAUUAUAAAUAUAAAAUAAAUAUAAAUAUGCAAAAUAA